GAUGAACGCUGGCGGCGUGCUUAACACAUGCAAGUCGAACGAAGCACCUCUCCCGAAGAUUGACACAGCUUGCUGUAGAUUGAUUCAUUUGAGGUGACUGAGUGGCGGACGGGUGAGUAACGCGUGGGUAACCUGCCUCAUAGAGGGGGACAACAGUUGGAAACGACUGCUAAUACCGCAUAGUAAGAAGAAUUCGCAUGUUUUCUUCUUGAAAGAUUUAUCGCUAUGAGAUGGACCCGCGUCUGAUUAGCUAGUUGGUAAGGUAACGGCUUACCAAGGCGACGAUCAGUAGCCGGCUUGAGAGAGUGAACGGCCACAUUGGGACUGAGACACGGCCCAAACUCCUACGGGAGGCAGCAGUGGGGAAUAUUGCACAAUGGGGGAAACCCUGAUGCAGCGACGCCGCGUGAGUGAAGAAGUAUUUCGGUAUGUAAAGCUCUAUCAGCAGGGAAGAUAAUGACGGUACCUGACUAAGAAGCCCCGGCUAACUACG
RNAcentral lists this ribosomal RNA (493 nucleotides) under uncultured bacterium. RNAcentral's name for it is "partial 16S ribosomal RNA". It matches the Rfam family "Bacterial small subunit ribosomal RNA", at positions 28 to 505 of the family's 1533-position model. The record is from RNAcentral.